AAAGUCUCCCCAAGGAAAACAGUGCCAGCUCUGUAUCCUAGAUCGAGUUUUGGGUCUACAGAGGUAACAAUGUGGGCUAAGCGUAAACAGAGAGAGGGGCAGGCCGAGUGAUUGAGUCUCGUAAUCCCUAAGAAUGGAAUGGCCGACGUGGUCGCUUUAGCGGAAGGCUAUAUUGAUAGAAGCGAAACUGGCUGCUUCUAACAGCAUUUCCGGGAUCGAAGAGCU
Molecule: non-coding RNA, 225 nt
Organism: Candidatus Scalindua sp.
Lineage: Bacteria; Pseudomonadati; Planctomycetota; Candidatus Brocadiia; Candidatus Brocadiales; Candidatus Scalinduaceae
Source: Rfam